Paramuricea clavata is the source of this 241-nucleotide non-coding RNA. NCBI's taxonomy places the organism in Eukaryota, Metazoa, Cnidaria, Anthozoa, Malacalcyonacea, Plexauridae. The record is from the annotation of a GenBank genome assembly.
AAGCAGUUGGUAACCAAGGAACUAGUUAUUUAACGCUGAGCGUUUCGACACUGAAGUAUGUUGACUUUAAAGGCUCUUUGUCGAGCCGUAACUCGUGAGAGCACAAUUUAAUUACAAGAAAAAGGUUUCACUGUCUUGGUCACAGCGAAAUGCCACAAGAAUUUAUGAAAUGAUCUCGAAAAGUCUGGAUUAUGUAACUUUUUACCUCAUAAAACAUCACGAGUAGCUAUAUACAGAUCAC